Molecule: ribosomal RNA, 482 nt
Filed under: uncultured bacterium
Lineage: Bacteria
Description: partial 16S ribosomal RNA
Rfam family: Bacterial small subunit ribosomal RNA
Source: RNAcentral
AUUGAACGCUGGCGGCAUGCCUUACACAUGCAAGUCGAACGGUAACGGGCCUUCGGGUGCCGACGAGUGGCGAACGGGUGAGUAAUACAUCGGAACGUGCCCGAUCGUGGGGGAUAACGAGGCGAAAGCUUUGCUAAUACCGCAUACGAUCUACGGAUGAAAGCAGGGGACCGCAAGGCCUUGCGCGGACGGAGCGGCCGAUGGCAGAUUAGGUAGUUGGUGGGAUAAAAGCUUACCAAGCCGACGAUUUGUAGCUGGUCUGAGAGGAUGAUCAGCCACACUGGGACUGAGACACGGCCCAGACUCCUACGGGAGGCAGCAGUGGGGAAUUUUGGACAAUGGGCGCAAGCCUGAUCCAGCCAUGCCGCGUGCAGGAUGAAGGCCUUCGGGUUGUAAACUGCUUUUGUACGGAACGAAAAGCCUUCUUUUAAUACAGGAGGGUCAUGACGGUACCGUAAGAAUAAGCACCGGCUAACUACGUG